RNAcentral lists this long non-coding RNA (7418 nucleotides) under Homo sapiens (human). Its description in RNAcentral is "HSALNT0033033". The record is from RNAcentral. Lineage: Eukaryota; Metazoa; Chordata; Mammalia; Primates; Hominidae.
AGGGAGGCUCUUUCUCCGACCCGCUCGGGGUGAGGCGGCCGUGCGCCCAGGGCGCGGCGCGGCGCGGCGCGACGCUGCCGGAGUGCUAGGCUCCGGCUGCAGCCACCGCUGCCUUUGUCUUAGAGGCGCCGAGGGGCUCCAGCCUCGACCUCUCCCGGGCCUGUAAGAACCUCGCGCCCCACUAGCUCUUUCUCCAGCGAAGCCCUGCCCUCACCACCCCAGACAUCCUUCCCCGCGCUCCUCUUUCCCGUCCCCAACCCGGCUCGGCGAAACCUCCCAGUGCCAGAGAAAAAGAAAUCCGCUUCGGAAGCUGAGAUUUCAGACAAAAGCUGCCUGUACCUACAACUCGGAGGCUCCAACCAACCACUGUUUUUUGUUUUGUUUUGUUUUUAACUUUAACACCUAUUGCCUGGGCUUUAAUUCCCCCUCACCCCUUCUCUUUAUUCUCCCGCUCUAAGCUUCUCCCUUGUGAUUAUAUUUAGUGGCGUUAUUUUCGUAUUUAUAUUUCUGUCCGCUGGGCUCUGAUCUGCCGAGAUGGCUCAGCCGCAGCAGCUCUACCAGUGGCUGGAAACCUCACAUCCACAAGCAGGGCUCGCAGCUCGCUCGGCUCCGAGAGGAUUUUUCCCCCUCCCUCCAGCUGAAACCUCGCAGAAAACUCCCCCUGCGGUCGACUGGAAAAUGAGCUCACCCAAAUCUCGGUAGGCAGCCGUGGAGGAGUGCUCGGCCAAUCAGGAGGCGCCCCCGCCCAGGCCGCCGCGCAUUGGCUGCGGGGAAAAUCAAUUAUCAAAUAAUCGAUCAGCAGGGAGCUUCGAUCUGCGGGGAAUGCGAACUGCCAGUCCCUAUUCCCGCCCUGAAGGUGGCCAAAAGGCUGACUCCCUCCAAGCAGCCCGCCCGCGCCUCCAUCGCCCCCACCCACGUCCCACUCGCCAGCUGCGGACUGAACCCUCACCCUCAAGGGGGUGUAGCCUCAGGGGUUCUUCGGCAAAGAGGUAACGGGGCUUGGAUUUACCACAACUCUGCGGCCACGUUUUCAAAUUUGGAAAAGCACAGAUGAGAAAAGAAGGUUCAGGCGAUUUAUGCGAGAAAGGGCCAAUUUGAACACUGGUAACUAGUGGGAGAAAUAAACUUAUAAGCCACAAACACAUCGGUUCGCAACCGAGCCCACAGCCCCGCGAGGCGCCCCUUCUUCCCAGCUCCCGGAGGAUAACUUCAUUGACUGGCAGGUCGGCGGCCACUUCUGGGAGGGCCACUGUUUACCGAAUGAGAACCUCUCAUGGCACAGUCCUUACAGCAGGGCUGCCCUGUCGCCCUUGCGCGUCCGGGUGCCGGGUCCCGGCGGUGUUCUGCAGCGCGAUCCGGUCCCCGUGCCCUGAGCCACCCAGAGCCCUGGGCCUGCCUGCACCCUGGGGCGCGCUGACUCCCUGGGUCGGGUGGGGGUCCCGGCAGGAUGCACUUCCAGCUGCGGGGUCCGCGGAGUUUGCUCGCACCUGGUUUGGCGCAGGGACGUAGGUUUGGGGGACUGUGUCCCCUGGGAAGAGCAAAAGGUGAAAAGGUCCCCUCUCCCACCAGUGUGCCCCAUCCCCGCCAGUUUUGACUGCGAUCCUAUUUUUCUCUUUGGGGGUCGCCUCAGCCUGUGCCGGAGGGAGUUGGGAGUUGGUCAGGCUUGGGCAGCGGUGGGUGGCAGCCCGGGAGCCGGAGCAGGAGCGCGAGGACCCGCGGACUGGGGCGCAGCGACGAUGGCGCACCGGCUUCUGUCUUCUGCUGCUUUGGGGCUGAGCAUCCGAGGGCGCCUUUCUCCCCAGCUGGACUCGGGGACGCCGGAUCACCCCGCCACCUGCCUCUUGGCCUAAUUCUGGAAGCUUCUCGCCUCCGUUCCUGGACGGCUCUUCCUCAGGGGCAGCAAUGAGCCCCGGGGUGCGCUCAUCUCCUCCGAGAUCAAUUGCUCUACGAUUCCUUUUAGGACUUGCAGGGGGGAGAGGUUGGGGACCCCGGCCCCAGAGUGGCUCCUGCGGCACGGCGGCCCACUCGGAGGGGUCGCAACAAGCGCGCAUUUGUGGCCAAGGUUGUGAUUUCAGGUGCGCUAAUGGGAUCAGACGUCCUGGGAGAAGCGUGAGGGGAUUGGUGCCGUUCCUUCUCCCGGCUUCCAGCGGCCGCCGGGUGGAAGUGGGGACACAGGAGGGCCGCGCUACGGGCGCCCAGCGCGGGCGCUCACACCUCUUGAGGAGGCGUGGAACCCAGCGCCCCAGGUGGGGGUAGGGCGCGGGGGUAUAGGUAGUGAGGGGUGACGCUGGGAGAGGACCGGGAGACGGAGGAAAGGAGACAGCCGGGGACACUACUGAGAGAGGGAGUAAGAGAGUGCGCUGCAGAACCGGGGACAGAGCGGCAGAACCGACCGAGAGCUGGAAUUGGAUUGCGUCCUGUCCCAGCACCAGGACACAGAUAAACAGCCUCCCAGCACUGGUACUCGCCAGAGAAGGGGAAACCCGCGUCCCGCGCUGCUGCUUUCUGCUUCGGAGAACCUUAUCUAGACUUUUGCAUAAUUGCGUGUUGGCUUUCCUAAAUAAUUCGGAAGAGCGAUUUCUGCUUCCACUUGUUCACAUAGGCAAACAAUCCCUGUGGGGAAAAUGUGUGUGUGUGUGUGUGUGUGUGCGCGCGCGCGCGCGCGCGUUCCGGUGACAAUUGAGGCCAGAGGCAAACACAUCCUCUUUCAAAAUGUCCCUUAGGUGAUCCCGUAAAUGACUGUCCUGCUCUAGGCAGUGGGAGUCAUCAUCCACUGGGUAGGGGGCUGUGAUUACUCUGCCUAGGGACCACUUUUCACAGCUCCUUCCCCACCGUAGAUAAGGGUGUUAAAUCAAGGCAUUUAGUUCUACUUUUCCAUUGCACAGAUAAGCAAGCUGAGACCCAGAUAGGUUAAGUGAAGUAUCCAAUUUCUUCUCUCCUUUUCUUUUCUGUAUGCCUCAAGAUGGUUUUAUACACACACACACACACACACAUACAUACACACACACACACACCCUGAACUACGAAAAACAUCACAACUACGGAAGAAACAUUUUUUACUCUUCUUAUUUCCUAAGAAGACCAAAAGUCAGAGCUUGUCUUCUGUCAGAAGCAGAUGGGUGUGUGAUGGCAGUGUGUGAGUGUGCAAGUGUGGGGGGGCUGGGCGUUGGCGCCAUCCUUCCUCCUUCCCUGCUCCAUCCCUGACUCCAUCACCGAGCCCCUUCAGGGAAACACAAGGCAGGAGGUUGUACCGCUAUGCAGAAGACCCCUCCAGGUAGGGAGCUUGAAGAAAUGAAACAGCAGGGAGAACCUGUAUUUGGUGGUGAAAGUGCUGGAAUCUUCUAGGCCUUGCUCAUCUCCAACCAGCUACUUCUCCAAAAUAAAGCAAAACAAAACAAAACAAAACAAGGCAAACAACAACCACCACAGGCCUUUUGCAUCAACUUCCUGUGACUAAGUGACCCUAAGCAGAGAACUGGCUCAGGUCACUUAGGGCAGGGGUAGGACAUUGAAGGCCUUAUUUACUCCAGGAUUAAAAACAGCAUCCCCUCUAACCCUGUCUCUCUUGGGCAGCCUGUCUUUUAAGGAUGUGAAAAGCAGCUUCUUGGAGUCUAAACAGGCACAAUACCCCACUGGGAUGUUUAGGUAUCAGGUUCACAAAAACAGCAUUUUACUCCUGCUUCCCCGAACCCCUUUGCAACCCAGGCUACCAUACUCUUUGCAAGAAUAUCCGGUAUCUUUUCCGGGCAAAAUGAAUUGAGUUGGCACUUCCUGAAAUAUUUUUAUUUUUAGCUUCAAAUAAUUUUGCUCCUAAAACAAAUUAGUUACUUAUCCUCUUCUCACCAUGCCCUAAUUAUUUUUAGCUUUAUUCUAAUUUUUUUUGUUACCUUGAAUUUUGUCUUGAUUUGAGAGUUUGGUAUAGAAUACUUGUUUGCAGACUGGUAAUCUGCAGUUUAUUUUGUUUUUAAAAAACUCUGUGAAGUUUACUGUUGUUUUAAAACUCAUGGAAUAUUAACAAAAAAUAACCUAAUAAUAUUCUUCGAGGCUUAAACUUUGGUUAUAGUCUAUGUCCUAGCCUAGCUUUUAUGAUAAGCCUGUUGCAUUUUAAAGGUGCUUAUUGAUUCACAUGUCUUUCAGUAAAAAAUCUUUUGAGGAACCCAGACUUUUGAAAGCUAUUUAAUUUGCAUGUAUUUGGUCAUUACAGGCUAAAACUGAAGAAUGAGUUUGGAAAUUGGUUCUAUUAGAAAACACUGUUUGCACAUCCAAAUGUUCCCAGUCAAGAUUUCCCAAUAGUGGCAGUGAGAAAGAGAGGCAGAGAGAAUUAGGAUACUUGGGUUCAAAUUUUAGCUUAGUCACUGAUGGGCUGAUUGAGUGAGAAGAACUUAAUCACCUGCAAAAUGAAUUGCUUACAGUAUUUUGAUCUCUAAAUACACUUUUGAUUCUGAUAUUUAAUGAUUUUGUAUUACAAAAUUGGGCAGAAAACGCAUAGCUUCAUAACAAGCAAAAAAUUUUACUGUUAACACAUCAUACUUAUUUUAGAGUAAAUUUGAAGGAGGUUGAUGUUUUGGAAUUUGGUUGGAGAGUUAUCCAAAAGCAAUGUUUCCCUGACUCAACUACAACCAAUUACACACAGUGGCCAGUAGGAAAAGGAUUAAGUUGUCCAGACAAAAUAUAAUGGUAACAAAAAAUAAUCUUGUGCUUUUGACAUCUUUCUGUUUACUUGUUUUUGUCUUGUUCUAAUGCCCCCUGAAUUACUAUUUUCUAAAAAACAGUCUCAUCUAAAAUAAAACAUAGUAAUGUGUUUUCAAAUGAGACAUUUUAUUGUAGUUACGAUUUCUUUUGUAUAUUUUCCUAAUGCAGACUACAAUAAAUACACUAAAAUAUUUCAAAUGGUUUGCUUGUGUAUAUGCUCUUAAGUCGUCUUUAUCCCACUUUGGGAAGCAUAUGCUGUGUUCUGAACAGUUUUAACUUUAUAUAUCAGCAUGACUAAGUCCUUUCAACAACUAUCACGCAAAGACCACGGAGAGCAGAACUAUUCAGGAUAUCAAGAAAUGAACACUAAUGAAUAGGAAACAAUGAACCCUAAUUUUAGGAAGAAAUUAGUUUUGCAAUUCAGCAUUGUCAUUUAAAGUGGAAUUGUGUCUCGUAAAACUUCUGUAACUGCCAUACUUGUUGCUAUCAGUAAAUUCUAUGAAGUCUCUAUUUUACACGACAGCAUUUUGAAAUGUAAUUGCUACAGUUUUAGAUAUUUCUAAGGCCUGAAUUUAUUAUAACAGGCAAUUUUUGAAAAAUAUACCAGAUUCAAUUAAAAAAUGGCAAUAAUUUCUCAUAAAAACCUUCAAAACAUUGAAAUCUGUGUUUUAUAUUCCAGGGAAUAAAAACAUAAAAACUUUACUUUGGACUUAAAAAAAAAAUUCAUUCACUCUCAAUUCCCCGCUUCUUUGAGAUCCUCCCGACAGGGAAAUUGUCAGAAGAAUUCCUUAAUACCUUCAGGCACUGUAAACUCCACAUAUGGAUCUUUAAGUCUGAAAAUGACAACUUAGAUUUUCGUUGAAAGAUAUACCUGAAAGAACUAAAGUAAACAGAAAGAUGUCAAAAGCACAGGAUUUUUUUUGGUACCAUUAAAUUUUGUCUGGAUAUUUGUUGGUGUUUUAGAAGUUAAAACACUUAGUCCCGUCUCCACUGGCCAGACAACAAAAGUUGUCUAACUUUUGGAGGCACUUUCCCUACUGCCUAAGCAUGCUAAGGCAUUGCUUAGCAUGACCAGGAUGCUUAAGAACUUGAAAUUCACAAAGUUGAAAAUAGAGAGUUAUGGCUCUUUUAAUAACUGUCACUUUAUCCUGAUUCUCAGUCAAUAUCCAAGCACAAUGUAGAGUGUGGAUGAACUUCAAAUGCUCUGGAACCAGCUACUGCUUUGAAGGUCAAACUCAGUCAUAUUUAAAAUUUCAGCAAUAUCACACUACUGGCAAUUGUUGGCUCAAUGAGACCAACUGCUCUCCUGACCUGGUAAGAACCAAGUGCCCACAGCCGCUUUCCUGACUUAUGAUUCUGUAUCUGGUAGCUACCUUUUUUCUCCUUGAGUAUUUAACGCUCUUUAAUUUUGCACUUUUGCAUUUCUUUGACAGUUGGCUAGCAUCCUUUAAAAAUUCUAGCCUAAUUUAGACCAAAAAGUACUAUAUAUUUUUGGAUAUUCUUAACCCGUUAGGUGCUUAGGGCUUAUUUGUUCAGGAGUUCAACCAAUAAGCCUUCCUCAGUGCUUUUAGCUUUUUACUCCAGGAAGGAAUUAGUUUGAAUUGCUCCAAAAUUGUCUUCUUUUUAUUUUCUCUUUCCUUUCCUAUGAGUCUGUAAUUUAGUUCUGCUGACACAGUUGAUUAACCCCAUACUGGGGAGUUGAUUAAAAACACUUUCUAAAAAUGUAUACUCCUAUUGCUGGUAUUAGUCAGCAUUUUUUUUGGCCUAUCACUUUUUAAGUUUCAGUUUAUCAAAAUCUUUCCACUCCAAUAAUUCUAAAUGGGCACACUUUAAAAGCUACAUACCUAGUUCUUUUUAAUAUAGGCUAUUCUUACGGCACUCUCUCUAAUGUACCUCCUAUAUUAGAAUCAUUCCAGGGAGCAGCAAGUGGUCUUAAAGACAUCUAUAAAGCCAUAUAUGAGCCAGGAGCUGAUGUGAACAAUAAUCACAAAUCUAUGAGCCAAGUUUGUUCUUCUCUUUGUGCUUAGGGGACCAUUCAGUUGUGCGACAGAUUCCCUCUUGAAGAACACUUCCUCAAAAAAAUUCUUAACCAUUGUCAUAGACUGAAGGAAGCUGCUCGGGGUCAUUACGUACUUUGUACUCUCCAGUUAACCUAGACACCAAAGCCAUUCCCACCAUCCUACUUCUGUCUUCUUGGAAACUUUCAAGAAGACGUGAGCUUUAAAGACUGUUUCAGAGUUUACAUGCCUCUUUCAUUGUCACUGACAUUUUUCGGAUCGUGAUUAAAAAGGCCAGUCUGUUGCAAAUUUCAUAAAUUAGUCUUUUCUCUCUGUUCUGCUGUCAGGUUGCCCUUCUCACUAAUGUCACCACAUGUCACUGCUGCCCUAGCCAAUCUCAAUUUGACUGAAAGGGUUUGACUAACUUUUGGGUCCUGUUUCCUAUAAUUGGUAACUUUGCCAACUUUUUGGUUUUACACUGUUUCACUCAGAAUAUUAUUAUUCAGGCAAAGUUAAUUUUCUGUUCUAAACAAGUCUUUGAUACUCAGGGAUAUGAUUGAGAAUUCAAUUUUUGUCUUUAACAAAACAUCACAGUUUGCAAAACAUCCCCCUUCCCCUCUUCAGGUCUACUAUCUUAGUUUACUCCUCCAAACCCUGUAAGAACAUACCAUCAGCCCUAUUUCACAGAUGAGGGCCACACAAUUGUUUAGAAUCAAAGACUGUGUACCG